AGUGAACGCUGGCGGCAGGCCUAAUACAUGCAAGUCGAACGGCCGCACAGUAAGCUUUCGCCUCUACGGGUGGCGAGUGGCGGAUGAGUAAGGAAUACAUCGGCUUCUUCUUUUUCUUGGGUGACAACGUAGGACCACUUACGCUAACACCUCAUAUGACCUACCGGUGAAAGCAGUAGAUCUACGGAGCUUGCGUGUCUGUUUUAGACGAUGGCGCACUAGCUUGGUGGCGUGGUAAGGGCCCACCAAGGCAACGAUACGUAGCUGGUCUGAGAGGAUGAUCAGCCACACUGGAACUGAGACACGGUCCAGACUCCUACGGGAGGCAGCAGUGGGGAAUAUUGCGCAAUGGGCGCAAGCCUGAUCCAGCAAUGCCGCGUGAGUGAUGAAGGUCUUCGGGUUGUAAAACCCUUUUAUUAGGAAAGAAAAGCAGCGGGAGAAACCCCGGCUGUUUUGACGGUACCCAAAGAGUAAGCACCGGCUAACUUCGUG
This 492-nucleotide ribosomal RNA is filed under the name uncultured bacterium. Its description in RNAcentral is "partial 16S ribosomal RNA". It matches the Rfam family "Bacterial small subunit ribosomal RNA", at positions 29 to 507 of the family's 1533-position model. The record is from RNAcentral.